GUGUGUGCGUGUUUGUGUAUGAGUGUGAGUGCAUGCGAGUGCGUGUGUGCAUGCGUGUGAGUGCGCGUGUGAGUGUGUGUGUGUGCGUGUGCAUGUGUGUGAGUGUGUAUGAGUGUGUGCGUGC
Molecule: microRNA precursor, 124 nt
Filed under: Pteropus vampyrus (large flying fox)
Lineage: Eukaryota; Metazoa; Chordata; Mammalia; Chiroptera; Pteropodidae
Description: miRNA (ENSPVAG00000025302.1)
Source: RNAcentral